This 559-nucleotide long non-coding RNA is filed under the name Capsicum annuum. RNAcentral describes it as "long non-coding RNA (CANN_LNC020978)". Lineage: Eukaryota; Viridiplantae; Streptophyta; Magnoliopsida; Solanales; Solanaceae. The record is from RNAcentral.
GGUCAUGCUAAAGGGAUCACUACUAUUUAUUUGAUCAACAUUUUCAACAUCAUCACUCACUUGAGAUCCAUUAAACACAUCACACACAUCCUCAAGUGCUGGACAAAUUUCGCACAUAAGUUGAUCAACACAACUCCCACAAGAUGAUGUACUCUCAUUCAACACAUUGGCUUCAACACUAGGUGGACAUAAAUUGAUCUUAUAAGAAGAGUCAAUUCGGUCAUCAAUAGGAUCAAAUAGUGUAUCCAUAUUCACAACAUGUACAUCAUCAUCGAGGGGCAAAGAAUCAAUAAAUGAUGUAUUAUCAUUCAACACAAUGGCUUUAACACUAGGUGGACUUAAAUUGAUCUUACAAGAAGAGUCAAUUCGGUCAUCAAUAGGAUCAACUAGUGUAUCCACACUCACAACAAGUACAUCAUCAACAAGAGGCAAAGAAUCAAUAGAAUCACAAAUAGGUAAGCUACUACUCACACUUAAUGGGCUACUAGCCACACAAUUAUCAUUCACAUGCACAAAAGUAUAAGAGUUAGCUAUUUGACCUUGAAGUUCUUGAGUAAAU